Nannospalax galili (Upper Galilee mountains blind mole rat) is the source of this 68-nucleotide non-coding RNA. The record is from the annotation of a RefSeq genome assembly. Lineage: Eukaryota; Metazoa; Chordata; Mammalia; Rodentia; Spalacidae.
GUCUAGGUAGUAUAAAUAAUUACCCUGGUCUUGUAAACCAGAAAUGGGACCCAAUAAACCCCUAGACA